This 22-nucleotide non-coding RNA is filed under the name Arabidopsis thaliana (thale cress). Lineage: Eukaryota; Viridiplantae; Streptophyta; Magnoliopsida; Brassicales; Brassicaceae. The record is from RNAcentral.
UUCAGUUCUUAUUAGGUGUAAC